Molecule: ribosomal RNA, 460 nt
Filed under: uncultured bacterium
Lineage: Bacteria
Description: partial 16S ribosomal RNA
Rfam family: Bacterial small subunit ribosomal RNA
Source: RNAcentral
CCUACGGGGGGCAGCAGUGAGGAAUAUUGGUCAAUGGACGCAAGCCUGAACCAGCCAUGCCGCGUGAAGGAUGACGGCACUAUGAGUUGUAAACUUCUUUUGUACGGGAAUAAACGCAGGUACGCGUACCUGUCUGAAUGUACCUUAAGAAUAAGGAUCGGCUAACUCCGUGCCAGCAGCCGCGGUAAUACGGAGGAUUCGAGCGUUAUCCGGAUUUAUUGGGUUUAAAGGGUGCGUAGGUGGUCUGUUAAGUUAGAGGUGAAAUCCCGGGGCUCAACCCCGUAAUUGCAUUUGAUACUGGCAGGCUAGAGUGUAGGUGAGGUAGGCGGAAUGCAUGGUGUAGCGGUGAAAUGCUGAGAGAUCGCACAGAACUCCGAUUGCGAAGGCAGCUUACCAAGCUACCACUGACGUUGAGGCACGAAAGCGUGGGGAGCAAACAGGAUUAGAUACCCGAGUAGUC